This is a long non-coding RNA of Nematostella vectensis (starlet sea anemone), 700 nucleotides long. RefSeq lists it as uncharacterized. The record is from RefSeq and is a predicted model, not a curated record. The transcript is spliced from 2 exons. Lineage: Eukaryota; Metazoa; Cnidaria; Anthozoa; Actiniaria; Edwardsiidae.
AGAAGCCCAUCUUGCAAACACACUCCGCACCGGCAGCUUGCAUCUUACACUCGGAAUUGUUACCGCAAGCAGGGUUGCACUCAGUUUGGAGUUUCGCUGUAAAGUGCAAUGGAUUGAUGCGAAGAAUAAACAAGGGAAGCUUAAAACUCUUAUACAUGCGUUGUCUACGAGAACUUAAAGAAAAUCCAAUAAGAGUCAAGAAACUUGUUUCCCAUUCAAGCAUUCAAGACCCAUGGUAGAGUAGAGUGCUUACGGAUGCAGGUCUUGCCAUUGCCUUCGAAUCCCUUGAGACAGCGACAGACGAAAGAACCAAGAACAUUGGUGCACAGCGCGUUGGCGUCACAGUCAUCCGUCUUAUUGGUGCAUUCAUCGAUGUCUAGAAUGAAACACGGGCGCAUUAUUCUUUACGUUGUCAAUCAAGCCAUGAAGGAGGGGGGGGGGGGCUACUAGACUAGGGGUUCAUGUAGACAUCGUUAGGAAUGAGGAGCUCGUCGAAUAACUAAAAGCUUAUAGAUACGAUAGCUAACUCUGUCGCUGUUUUAUUAAUGCACACGCAUGCUCGAUGACCCAUCAGAAUUUGCAGGCGUCAUCUACUCUCGGCCAAAAAUAGAAAGCGCGGGAUCACAUGCAGUUUUACGUAUGCAUGCUCAAUGAUCUAUAGAGAAAGAAAAAUAAAUAAAACGAGAGUUGCUACCCUAAA